This 909-nucleotide ribosomal RNA is filed under the name Streptomyces sp. SID10244. Its description in RNAcentral is "partial 23S ribosomal RNA". It matches the Rfam family "Bacterial large subunit ribosomal RNA", at positions 269 to 1121 of the family's 2925-position model. Lineage: Bacteria; Bacillati; Actinomycetota; Actinomycetes; Kitasatosporales; Streptomycetaceae. The record is from RNAcentral.
CUAAACCAUGCGCAUGUGAUACCUGGCAGGGGUUGUGUGUGUGGGGUUGUGGGGUUCAUCUUCUCAGUGCUGCCGUGCUGGGGGUGAGUGAUAAAACUGCGUGUUAGGUGAAGUGGCCUGGAAUGGUCUGCCGUAGACGGUGAGAGUCCGGUAGCUGAAAACAUGUGGUCUUGCUUGAUGGAUGCCCAAGUAGCAGCGGGCUCGUGGAAUCUGCUGUGAAUCUGCCGGGACCACCCGGUAAGCCUGAAUACUUCCUGGUGACCGAUAGCGGACAAGUACCGUGAGGGAAAGGUGAAAAGUACCCCGGGAGGGGAGUGAAAUAGUACCUGAAACCGGACGCUUACAAUCCGUCAAAGCCUGUGAGUCCUUGUGGCUGCGGGUGAUGGCGUGCCUUUUGAAGAAUGAGCCUGCGAGUUAGUGCUCGGUGGCAAGGUUAACCCGUGUGGGGUAGCCGUAGCGAAAGCGAGUCUGAAUAGGGCGUGGAGUCGCCGGGUCUAGACCCGAAGCGGAGUGAUCUACCCAUGGCCAGGGUGAAGCGACGGUAAGACGUCGUGGAGGCCCGAACCCACUUCAGUUGAAAAUGGAGGGGAUGAGCUGUGGGUAGGGGUGAAAGGCCAAUCAAACUCCGUGAUAGCUGGUUCUCCCCGAAAUGCAUUUAGGUGCAGCGUUGCAUGUUUCUUACCGGAGGUAGAGCUACUGGAUGGCCGAUGGGCCCUAUCAGGUUACUGACGUCAGCCAAACUCCGAAUGCCGGUAAGUGAGAGUGUGGCAGUGAGACUGCGGGCGAUAAGGUUCGUGGUCGAGAGGGAAACAGCCCAGAUCGCCGGCUAAGGCCCCUAAGCGUGUACUAAGUGGAAAAGGAUGUGGGAUCGCAGAGACAACCAGGAGGUUGGCUUAGAAGCAGCCACCC